AGACCUUCGGAGUGUUGUGCUGCGACAAGGGAGGACAUGUUUGUUUGACAAGGUGCACGGUGACGUCAUCGCAACAGGAAGCGAAGGCCACGCCCCCUCAGCCACAAGUCAGCAUUCACGAGGACCACCAGCGCAGACAUGAAUCGGCUACUCGUGAGCGUGCUGAUGGCCGCUUUGAGUCUCGGAAACGGACAGGAAAUGGUGCGGCAGCCAAAAGGCCACGUCCACGCCGUGGAGGGCGAAAAGGUGACCCUCAACUGCAGCUUCGAGAGCACAGGGAGCAACGACUACAUCUUCUGGUACAAACAGGAACCGAACGCAGCACCUGAUCUUGUUUUGAGAGUCUCGAAGUUCGCGCAGGCCAAGACGGAGAAGAAGUACGCCGACAGGUUUCGCUCCAUCAUGAACACCAGCACCCUGCGAGCUCCUCUGCACAUCGAGAGCGUGAAACCGAGCGACUCUGGAGUCUACCACUGCGCCCUGCAGCCCACGCUGACACAUUCGCUGGGGUGCCCGUACAAAAACUCCUGCACCCGCCUCACUCCACGUCACGUUGUGGGCGGGGUCUCGCCGGAGGAGACGAGUCAGGUCUUGAAAACACGCAAACCCGACAGCGGUUACAUUGACAAAAACAGAAAUCCAAAGUACCUCCCUAAUGCCCACUAGUAUGAACACAGUUGUCACCGGCCGAGUUCAAAAACCCAAUAAAGACCCGACACAACUAGCCAGCGUGUAAACUGUGGCAGCAGGCUAAUGCGGCUCCUUUCGAGUGCCUCGUUGUCACGGUGCAGAAAAGCCAGAUGAUGGCCCAAAGGGAUCGUGACUGGACACCGGAGGCUUUUAGCGGCUUUUAUUUGAAGACUCAGACGUUGAACCAUGUUGGCGUAAGAAAGACGCUCAAUGAUGUUGCAUCCGAUAACAUAAUUCACAAUGUUUUUUUACAUGCA
Syngnathoides biaculeatus (alligator pipefish) is the source of this 947-nucleotide non-coding RNA. The record is from the annotation of a RefSeq genome assembly. NCBI's taxonomy places the organism in Eukaryota, Metazoa, Chordata, Actinopteri, Syngnathiformes, Syngnathidae.